UUUUAGAUUUCUAAACCGAAUCUUGUUGCGAGUUCUUCUCCUACCCAUCCGCGUCUCGGGGCUUGGAAUCGAAUCCUCGCCAAGUUCGGAUCAACGAACUGCCCUCAUAAGCCCGCGUCCCCUCCUUCCUCGCGUCGACGCCGCACCGCACCGCAUCUCCGCUCGCCGCCGCCGACGACGACGAGAUGCUUUCCCGGAUUCUGCAUGGCUAUGGAGGACACGGCGGGAGAGGCUUCGAGCAGACGUACCGGUGCUACUCGGCGGCGGCCUUCAACAAGCCGCAGCUCGAAGGCGGAGACAAGGUGAUCAUGCCGGCGUCGGCGCUCCACCGCCUCGCCUCCCUCCACAUCGACUACCCGAUGCUGUUCGAGCUCUCCCACCACGGCGACGCCGCCGCCCACCGGGUCACCCACUGCGGCGUGCUGGAGUUCGUCGCCGACGAGGGCACGGUGAUCAUGCCGCGGUGGAUGAUGCGCGGCAUGCGCCUCGACGACGGCGGCCUCGUCGUCGUCAGGAGCGCCAGCCUCCCCAAGGGCAGCUACGCCAAGCUGCAGCCUCACACCGGCGACUUCCUCGACACGGCGAACCCCAAGGCCGUCCUGGAGAAGACGCUGCGCAGCUUCACCUGCCUCACCACCGGCGACACCAUCAUGGUGGCCUACAACAACAAGGAGUUCCUCAUCGACAUCGUCGAGACGAAGCCCGCCUCGGCCGUCUGCAUCAUCGAGACGGAUUGCGAGGUCGAUUUCGCACCUCCACUCGAUUACAAAGAACCUGAAAAGGUUCAGCAGAAACCAUCUGUUCCUUCAAGCAAGGCGGCUUCCGAAGAUCAAGAUCAAAUCAAAGAUGAGCCAGAAUUCAGAGCAUUCACUGGUUCAGGGAAUCGUUUGGAUGGUAAGGCCUCAAAACCGCUAGCAGCAGGGAUCUCUUCUAAUCCUGCUGCUGCAAGUUCUGCAAUUUCAGACUCGAACAAGAAGGUGAAUCAGGAGACAGCAGCAUCAGGAGUUAGCAACUCUACACGUCAGAAAAAGGGGAAGCUUGUUUUUGGUUCAAACAAAAGCAGCAGCAGCAGCAAAGAACCAGAGAAGGCUCCUCCUGUUAAAGUUGAUGAACUUGCAAAGAAGGAAGAGCCCAAGUUCCAAGCAUUUUCUGGGACGAGCUACUCGUUGAAACGUUAGCUGCUGCUAUUAGGGUUAAAAGUUUUGGAAUCAAUCAUUUGUUUCUUACUUGGAGUUCGCCUGGUUACUCUGGCAGCUGUAAAUGAUUGGUAGCAAUGUGUAUCUUUAUCAUUUUCAGUUCUCCCUUAAUAAUUCUAGUUAUUGUCUUGCUAAUUAAAAGAAUUCCGUGGAUUACAUGGAACCUGAUACUAUUUGCUUGACCAUAUGUGGAGUUUUCUUGCAAUGUCAAGCAGAACGCAUUGCUAAUGUACUCAACCAACUCCCUACCUAGAGAAGAUUCUAACUGAAUCUACCCUCAACCAACCUGCUUCUCCAUCAGUUAAUUAUGAUCACAAAAAUGAGGUGAUGUACAACAUUUCUUGGUCCUCCUCCUCUAGGAUAUUUCUUUGCUGUGCUUAUAUGAGCAGGUUGAUUUGCUUCAGAGUUCAACAUCAUCACUUCCAGUUUGAGAAAAUGGUGAUCUCAUCCAAGGGCAAAGUGUGUGUAACUGGUGCUUCAGGCUUCGUCGCCUCUUGGCUCAUCAAGAGGCUUCUUGAGGCGGGCUAUCAUGUGAUAGGAACUGUGAGAGACCCAAGCAAUCGCGAUAAAGUGUCACACCUUUGGAGAUUACCAAGUGCAAAGGAGAGGCUGCAACUUGUGAGAGCUGAUCUGAUGGAAGAAGGGAGCUUUGACGAUGCUGUGAUGGCUUGCGAAGGCGUCUUCCACACUGCAUCGCCUGUCCUUGCCAAAUCUGAUUCCAAUUGCAAGGAAGAAAUGCUUGUUCCUGCGAUAAAUGGUACUCUGAAUGUGCUGAAAUCUUGCAAGAAGAAUCCAUUUCUGAAAAGGGUUGUUCUUACAUCCUCAUCAUCCACGGUAAGAAUCAGGGAUGAGAGUAAACAUCCAGAAAUCUCACUGGAUGAAACAAUAUGGAGCUCUGUGGCACUCUGUGAAAAGCUACAGCUAUGGUAUGCCCUGGCAAAGAUAUCUGCAGAGAAAGCGGCAUGGGAGUUUGCCAAGGAGAACAACAUUGACCUUGUAACUGUUCUUCCAUCAUUUGUGAUUGGGCCCAGUUUAUCACAUGAACUGUCUGUCACUGCUUCAGACAUCCUUGGCUUACUUCAAGGUGACACAGAUAGAUUCAUCUCGUAUGGGAGAAUGGGAUAUGUUCACAUCGACGAUGUGGCGAGCUGCCACAUUCUGGUGUACGAAGCACCUCAGGCUACUGGGAGAUAUCUCUGCAACUCCGUUGUUCUUGACAACAACGAAUUAGUCGCCUUGCUUGCGAAGCAAUUUCCAAUUUUUCCCAUCCCAAGGAGCUUGAGGAACCCAUAUGAGAAACAGUCAUAUGAGCUAAACACAUCCAAGAUCCAGCAGCUGGGUUUCAAGUUCAAAGGGGUGCAAGAGAUGUUUGGUGAUUGUGUCGAGUCGCUGAAAGAUCAGGGACACUUGCUGGAGUGCCCGUUGUAACGAAAAAAAGGGAUCUUUGGCACGGUACCAACAAGCUCAUGGCCAAGCACACACUUGAAUUGUUCUGACUUUGAUUCGACACUUCGCAUGCCACUGCGUUUCUCUUGUAAUAAUUCGCAUGUCAUUCCCUCACCAAACGACAAAUAAAUUGUCAAUUUGUUGCUCAGUCUUCACAGACCAUAUGCUUAAAUGUAAUGCUCUGCUUGCUUUCA
Molecule: non-coding RNA, 2836 nt
Organism: Oryza sativa Japonica Group (Japanese rice)
Lineage: Eukaryota; Viridiplantae; Streptophyta; Magnoliopsida; Poales; Poaceae
Source: RefSeq, a predicted model, not a curated record